Molecule: long non-coding RNA, 98 nt
Organism: Etheostoma cragini (Arkansas darter)
Lineage: Eukaryota; Metazoa; Chordata; Actinopteri; Perciformes; Percidae
Exons: 3
Source: RefSeq, a predicted model, not a curated record
CUGGAACACUGCAUUUACGACCCUGGUUCAUUGUCAAUAUCCUGGAAAAUAUUCCAAACUUUCUUCUUAGUAAAUCCCACAUAGCUCAGCUCGUUGUG